AGCUUUGCGCAGUGGCGAUAUCGUAACCAAUGAGCUCGGAUGUAGCUCAUUGGUUACGAUAUCGAUGUAGUGCGAUUAUUGCUAGUUGAAAAAAAAACUAACAAAGAAUGUUUUCAAUUAUUUAAAAAUUACAAAAAAA
This is a small nuclear RNA of Toxorhynchites rutilus septentrionalis, 139 nucleotides long. RefSeq annotates it as U4 spliceosomal RNA. The record is from RefSeq and is a predicted model, not a curated record. NCBI's taxonomy places the organism in Eukaryota, Metazoa, Arthropoda, Insecta, Diptera, Culicidae. The transcript has a single exon.